UUUUUAGCAUAAGUAUGUCUUAUGCCAUGUUUGGGACAUACUUAUGCUGAAA
This 52-nucleotide microRNA precursor is filed under the name Mustela putorius furo (domestic ferret). RNAcentral's name for it is "mir-1302 microRNA precursor family". It matches the Rfam family "mir-1302 microRNA precursor family". Lineage: Eukaryota; Metazoa; Chordata; Mammalia; Carnivora; Mustelidae. The record is from Rfam by way of RNAcentral.